RNAcentral lists this ribosomal RNA (957 nucleotides) under Thalassiosira rotula. RNAcentral's name for it is "partial Bacterial large subunit ribosomal RNA". It matches the Rfam family "Bacterial large subunit ribosomal RNA", at positions 1956 to 2912 of the family's 2925-position model. The record is from RNAcentral. Lineage: Eukaryota; Bacillariophyta; Thalassiosirophyceae; Thalassiosirales; Thalassiosiraceae.
GUAGCGAAAUUCCUUGUCGGGUAAGUUCCGACCUGCACGAAUGGAGUAACGAUUUCCCUACUGUCUCCACCAUGAACUCGGUGAAAUUGCAUUACGAGUAAAGAUGCUCGUUACGCGCAGCAGGACGGAAAGACCCCGGGACCUUUACUAUAGUUUGGUAUUGGUGAUUGGGACGGUUUGUGUAGGAUAGGUGGGAGACGUUGAUGCGGCCACGCUAGUGGUGGUGGAGUCGUUGGUGAAAUACCACUCUGAUUGUUCUGGUUAUCUCACUGUGGACCGUGAUCCGGUUCAAGGACAGUGCCUGAUGGGUAGUUUGACUGGGGCGGUCGCCUCCUAAAGGGUAACGGAGGCGCCCAAAGGUUCCCUCAUCCUGGUUGGUAAUCAGGUGGUGAGUGUAAGUGCACAAGGGGGCUUGACUGUGAGACUGACAGGUCGAGCAGGGACGAAAGUCGGGACUAGUGAUCUGACGGUGGCUUGUGGAUGCGCCGUCACUCAACGGAUAAAAGGUACCCCGGGGAUAACAGGCUGAUCUUGCCCGAGCGCUCAUAGCGACGGCAUGGUUUGGCACCUCGAUGUCGGCUCGUCGCAUCCUGGGGCUGGAGUCGGUCCCAAGGGUUGGGCUGUUCGCCCAUUAAAGCGGUACGCGAGCUGGGUUCAGAACGUCGUGAGACAGUUCGGUCCCUAUCCGCUGCGCGCGGAGGAAUCUUGAGAAGGGCUGUCUUUAGUACGAGAGGACCGAGACGGACUGACCUCUGGUGUGCCAGUUGUUCUGCCAAGAGCAUGGCUGGUUGGCUACGUCGGGUUGUGAUAACCGCUGAAAGCAUCUAAGCGGGAAGCACGCUUCAAGAUAAGGGUUCCCACAGGUGAUCCUGGUAAGGUCCCCGAGAGAUGAUCGGGUUGAUAGGCCAGACGUGGACGCAUCGUAAGGUGUGGAGCUGACUGGUACUAAUAGACCGA